This is a long non-coding RNA of Chinchilla lanigera (long-tailed chinchilla), 451 nucleotides long. RefSeq lists it as uncharacterized. The record is from RefSeq and is a predicted model, not a curated record. The transcript is spliced from 3 exons. NCBI's taxonomy places the organism in Eukaryota, Metazoa, Chordata, Mammalia, Rodentia, Chinchillidae.
AGCUAAAUCCCCAGCCCCAUAGUGUCUAUAUUUAAUGCUAGAAAUGUGCUGGCUAUGGAGCUGAUCUUGGCCUCUGGAUGUGGGGGUUGAGACUGGUUUCUGUUGGUGGAGUUCUCCAGAGUUCAACUGCUGUCUCCUCACUGCUGUUUCAGACACUUCCACUUUGCUGGUCUUGCUAAUUACUUUGGCCUCCAAAGGUGUGUGUGGCCAUAUCCCCGGGGCCUGGCUGUUUUCCUGGUUGUCAUGUGUUGGGGCUCUGGCUGGUCCACCCACCAAAGGUCCAGUUGUCCCAGAGAUAAUGGAGGAAGCACAGAGCAUGAACUCAGACUCUUCUCUCAGACCCUGCUGUGCCAGAGAUCUGUGACAGGCUUGUUCAUUGUAAGUUACACAGACUGGAUCUGUACUUUCCUGUGGAGGAGUGUUUGCAUGCAGUAAGAUAACCUUCAGUGGA